GGCGCUGCCCUCGUCCCGCCGCUGCCCGGUGCGGCUUGGCCCGGCCCGGGGGAGGGCACGGCGCUGCCCGGGGGUUGACCCGCCCGUCCCUCUGCCCGGGACACCGACACCGCUGGCAGGGCCGAAGAGGCACUCCUCGCGCCGCCCGCUUCGCCGCCGGCCCCGGCAGAGCGGAACUGAUCGCGGAGAGCCGCCCGCACGUCCUCGGCGGCGGCUUGCAGCGGGGCCGGCCCCGGCGACCGCCCGUACUCCCACCGGGACGUCUGCGCCCGCCGUCGGGGCCGACGAGUAGAAAAUGAACCCCGCUCCGGUGCCGCCGCCGCCGGGACAGCAGGUGAUCCAUGUCACGCAGGACCUGGACACAGAGCUGGAAGCUCUCUUCAACGCGGUGAUGAACCCCAAGCCCAGCUCCUGGAGGAAGAAGAUCCUGCCUGAGUCCUUCUUCAAGGAGCCCGACUCAGGCUCGCACUCGCGGCAGUCGAGCACGGACUCGGGCGGGCCCCCGCCACGGCCCGCCGCCGCGCAGCACGUCCGCUCCCACUCCUCUCCCGCCUCGCUGCUGGGGUCGGCGACCGCUCCUCAGCACGCUCACCUCCGCCAGCGCUCCUACGACGUGACGGACGAGCUGCCGCUGCCUCCCGGCUGGGAGAUGGCGCUCACGCACACGGGACAGCGAUACUUCCUCAAUCACAUAGAAAAAAUUACAACAUGGCAAGAUCCUCGAAAAACCAUGAACCAGCCACUGAAUCACAUGAGCCACCAUCCUGCAGCUGCUUCCACACAAGUACCCCAGAGGUCUAUGGCAAUGUCUCAGCCCAAUCUCGUCAUGAACCACCAGCACCAAAUCAGCCCCAGCACAGCCAUGUCACAGCAGAGCCAUCCUCCCCAGACACCUCAGCCAGGGCUGAUGAACCUGCCCAGGGCUCUGACCACGCAGCAGCAGCAGCAGCAGAAGCUGAGGCUCCAGAGAAUCCAGAUGGAGAGGGAGCGAAUUCGGAUGCGUCAGGAGGAGUUACUGCGACAGGAAGCUGCUCUGUGCAGACAACUUCCCAUGGACUCAGAAAACUUGGUGCCAGUUCAGACAGCUGUGAAUACCCCUGCCAUGACACAAGACAUGAGGCCUAUUACAAACAAUGGAUCUGAUCCUUUCUUGAACAGUGGGCCAUACCAUUCCCGGGAACAGAGUACAGACAGUGGCUUGGGAUUAGGAUGCUACAGCAUACCAACAACACCUGAAGAUUUCCUCAGCAAUGUAGAUGAGAUGGAUACAGGAGAAACUAUAGCACAGACAACGAUGAACAUAAACCCACAACAAACACGCUUCCCUGAUUUCCUCGACUGCCUUCCAGGAACAAAUGUUGACCUUGGGACUCUAGAGUCAGAAGACUUGAUCCCUAUCCUCAACGAUGUGGAGUCAGUACUCAACAAAAAUGAGCCCUUCCUCACCUGGCUGUAACCAUUUGAUGCUGGUGUGGCCUGCAACGCAGCUCGACAUUUUUUUUUCCUCUUGAGAUAGAGGUCUAGCAACGCUUAACAAGAUCUUCCUGAUGCACCAGAAUAUUGAUCACUAAAAGACUUUUUUUCCAUCUGGUUUGGUGAAGGUAGGUGAAAAGGUCAGAGAUGAAGUGAUGGGAAUAUGGAGUAGGUUUGGAAGACAAAUGGUAAAACAAAUGUAGAUCCUUGCUGGGAAGGGUGGCUGCAGAGAGGGGUGAGUAGAAAACCAAUCACCAGCGUUCAGUACAAACAAGAACUUGACCCAGUUAACUUACCUUGUCAGGGGGGAACUGCUGGGUGUGCAUAGUGUCAGAAGAUGGAAAAUGAAAAGCACACCACCCCCCCCCAAAACUCUGAGAAAAAAGAGAUGGGAGGCAAAGACCUACAGUAGUGGAGUUUUAUUACAUGGGGAAAAGUAGCUUUUUUUAAUGUUGUGGGGGUUUUUUCCUUUUAUUUUUAAUAGCAAAUGAGAUGUGACUGCAAAGUUGUGUCUCCACAGAACUUAAUUACUGAAUGGGCAUUGUGUUUCUUUUAUUCUUUAGGAGAGGCUAUUUGUUGGGUUUGGGGUUUUACUCAUUAUUUCUGCUAGUGCUAAGUGUUGAGAUAGCAGAAAUGUCUUUUCCACACAUAGGGGACCGGGCUGGCUGACCAAUAUUACUGUAAUUAAGGUUACUCUUUCUUAAGGAUUUCUUCAGGUUGUCAGCCUAAAAGGAAAACAGAUGGUCCUAAAGCUUUGUUCUUUAGGAACACGACUGACUUUGGUAAAAGAAUUGGAGGGGUUUUUUUGGUGUCUGGUAGUGAUGCCAACUCAUCAGCCUAGCAAAUGGAAAGCCAUCGGUGCUCCAGCAACUCCAAGCAGCUGUGGAUCUGAGCUCCAGCGUGAUUCAGCUGCUAGGGCUCAGCAUGAGAGCCUGUUCAGAAACUGGGGGUUGUUCAUUUGCUAGGCAGUCUGUACUACUGUAAAGUUAGGUUUUGUCACAGUAAAAGAUACUCCAAGCAGACCAGGCUCUUAGCUGAGUUAUGGCCACACUGAUGUUCAUCUCCUGAAGACCAUGCUUCUCAUGGGAGAACUGAGGCAGUCUUCUAGUGAAGCCAUGGAAGAUGUACAUCAGAUUUGCGAAGCUACAAACCGGAUGCCUCAUUCCUGGGUGAAGUGUCUUGGUUCAAAGACCUUGAAGAGGUAAAACAAAAAAAAUCAGAAACUGUUUCUGUACUCUGUAAACCAGCAGCAAAUUUGCAACAGGAGGGUGCUAUGUGGAACAACACUUCCAGUGUAAAACAACUGCCAAAAUACUAGCUCAGAUCUUGACUCAGUCCUGAACAGACUCAUGGUUAAGCUGAAAGUGAUUCUUUACACUGUAAGCUUUUUGAUAUUUUUUUUUAAUGGGGAGAGUGCAGCAACACACACAAAAAAUAAAACCUGAGGUUUAAAGUUCUCUCUUUUUUUUAAUAGUUUCCAGCAGUAAACAGGCUCAUUGGCAGAACUCUCUAAGCAUUCAAAGCAGGAAACUAAAUUUAUUAGAGACAACAGUUCACUGUACUAUUUCAGGCUUUGAACAUUUACUUUACUAAAUGUACCCUGUCUGCUUGUAGUACAAACACAGUGGAUGUGCCAGCUGGGCAGUUGUGCUGUUGACAUGGCUGAGGGUGGCCCACACAAAUCAUGGUGACACAGAAGCCAUGGGACACUGUUAAUUACAGGUUGUAUGCUGGCAAUACUGUUACGAAUGUAACUCGGGGAGGGUUGGGUUAGUUUGAUGGCGAGUGCUG
This is an RNA transcript of Dryobates pubescens (Downy woodpecker), 3264 nucleotides long. It is a transcript of the gene named WW domain containing transcription regulator 1, with no coding region annotated. Lineage: Eukaryota; Metazoa; Chordata; Aves; Piciformes; Picidae. The record is from RefSeq and is a predicted model, not a curated record. The transcript has 7 exons.